GCUCCCCUCGGGCUCCAGGAAGUCGCGAGCGCCCCAGGGGUCGCCCGAGGAGUGGGCUCGGGACGGCGGGCAGCGCAGCCUGCAGGGGGGCGCCAACGGCAGCGAUGAAGCCAUCUUGGCUGCAGUGUCGCAAAGUCACCGGCGCCGGGGGACUCGGGGGGUCCCUGCCCGCGUCCUCUCCCGCCCGGGGAGCCGGCCCGGCCCGCAGGGCGUACGUGGCCCCCGGCCAACGGGGCGCUCUCGGGGGCCGGGGCUGCCGGGCGCUGUCCUCGGGCGGCUGCGAGUACAAGACCCACUUCGCGGCCUCGGUGGCCGACCCCGAGAGGUUCUGGGGCAAAGCCGCGGAGCAGAUCAGCUGGUACAAGCCCUGGACCAAAACGCUGGAGAACAGACAUUCGCCUUCCACCAGUUGGUUUGUGGAAGGGAUGCUUAACAUUUGUUACAAUGCCAUCGAUCGUCAUAUUGAAAAUGGUAAAGGAGAUAAGAUUGCUAUCAUUUAUGACAGUCCUGUUACAAAUACUAAAGCCACUAUUACCUAUAAAGAAGUCCUGGAGCAGGUCUCUAAGCUGGCUGGUGUUUUGGUCAAGCAUGAUGUCAAGAAGGGUGACACCGUGGUUAUCUACAUGCCCAUGAUCCCCCAGGCGAUAUACACCAUGCUGGCGUGUGCUAGGAUAGGAGCCAUCCAUAGUCUCAUAUUUGGGGGAUUUGCAUCCAGAGAACUCAGCAGUCGCAUUGAUCAUGCAAAGCCCAAGGUCGUUGUUACAGCAUCGUUUGGCAUUGAACCUGGAAGGAAGGUAGAAUACAUACCACUUCUAGAAGAAGCUCUGAGAAUAGGACAACACAAGCCAGAUAAAGUUCUCAUUUAUAAUCGUCCAAAUAUGGAGCCGGUUCCUUUGGCGCCAGGUCGUGACCUUGAUUGGGAUGAAGAGAUGGCAAAAGCACAGUCACAUGACUGUGUUCCUGUUCUUUCCGAACAUCCGCUGUAUAUUCUUUACACAUCUGGAACAACGGGGUUGCCAAAGGGUGUGGUGAGGCCCACUGGAGGAUACGCUGUAAUGCUUAACUGGUCAAUGUCUUCUAUAUAUGGACUUAAACCUGGAGAGGUGUGGUGGGCAGCUUCUGACUUAGGCUGGGUUGUCGGACAUUCCUAUAUCUGUUAUGGACCUCUUCUACACGGAAACACAACAGUUUUAUAUGAGGGGAAGCCUGUCGGAACACCAGAUGCUGGCGCUUACUUCCGUGUGCUCGCGGAGCAUGGAGUAGCUGCCUUGUUUACAGCGCCAACUGCCAUUAGAGCAAUCCGUCAACAGGACCCUGGGGCAGCCUUGGGGAAGCAGUACUCUCUGACAAGGUUCAAAACAUUAUUUGUGGCUGGAGAACGAUGUGACGUGGAGACCCUGGAAUGGUCCAAAAAGGUCUUCAGAGUACCUGUCCUAGACCAUUGGUGGCAAACUGAGACUGGUUCCCCAAUUACAGCAUCAUGCAUUGGAUUAGGUAAUUCUAAAACACCUCCUCCAGGGCAAGCAGGAAAAAGUGUUCCAGGAUACAAUGUUAUGAUUUUGGAUGACAACAUGCAAAAACUGAAGGCUUGGUGUUUAGGAAACAUUGUGGUAAAGUUGCCAUUACCACCUGGAGCUUUUUCAGGACUCUGGAAGAAUCAGGAGGCAUUCAAGCAUUUAUACUUUGAAAAAUUUCCUGGAUACUAUGACACCAUGGAUGCUGGUUACAUGGAUGAAGAAGGUUAUAUAUAUGUUAUGUCUCGAGUUGAUGACGUGAUAAAUGUUGCAGGUCACAGGAUUUCUGCAGGUGCCAUUGAAGAGAUGAUGAUGUUUAUCGAAGAACUCUUUCCUAACCCAAGAACCUCCACUAUGAUACUGAGUAAGAGUGAUGAGAGCAGUUACCCUCGUCUUGUUCCUGAUCUUAGGUCUGUCCUUUCCCAUGGCACUGUGGCCGACUGCGCUGUUGUUGGCAAGGAAGACCCUUUGAAGGGUCAUGUCCCGUUAGCACUCUGCGUGCUGAAGAAAGAUAUAAAUACAACAGAGGAACAAGUCUUAGAAGAAAUUGUGAAACAUGUUAGACAGAGCAUUGGCCCCGUGGCUGCUUUUCGAAAAGCGGUGUUUGUGAAACAGUUACCCAAAACCAGAUCUGGCAAAAUUCCCCGCUCAGCUCUGUCUGCCCUUGUCAAUGGCAAGCCAUAUAAGGUAUCUCCUACAAUUGAAGACCCCAGCAUUUUUGGGCACAUAGAAGAAAUGCUGAAGCAGGCAUUAUGACUUUUUUUUUUUUGUCACUUUUCUAAUUGGAGUUAGAUUUUGGAAUUAUUUCCCAGAAAUAAAUAUUUAAAUAGAAAUUACAUGCAAACUGAAAUGGUCAGAGAAAGUACUGUUCCUCUCACAAGACUGAAUGUGGGGCAAGAAAGAUACAGUCAUCAGAUUGCUUAAAUUUUGGAAGAAAAAAAAAGGAAUUUUCUAUUUUAAUACUUACCAUAAGGUAC
Molecule: RNA transcript, 2491 nt
Organism: Lagenorhynchus albirostris (white-beaked dolphin)
Lineage: Eukaryota; Metazoa; Chordata; Mammalia; Artiodactyla; Delphinidae
Gene: ACSS3
Gene name: acyl-CoA synthetase short chain family member 3
Exons: 19
Source: RefSeq, a predicted model, not a curated record